UUCCCAUAUUUACUUAGAAUUUAUUAAACACCUUUUUUAAAUAGAAAAGGACAAUUCAGGAAGAACAGAAAUGCAUAACACAGAAUAAGUGAAACUGCAGCAGCAGCUUAUUACAACCACUACAAAAGGGAUGUGCAGCUGACUGCUGCAUGUGAUGGAGUACCCAAAUACUAGCUGGUGCUGCUUCUUUUCCACAUUUGAAUGAUUUAUAGCAGAAACUCCAGAAAUACUCUCCUGCAGCUUGACAUCUGCUUAAUUGAACAGGAAAGCAUUGCACUGAGCUAGCAAGUUGAACACAGGAUGAUAGGCACUCAUAGGUAACGUGCACAAAGCAAUCUGGAAAUCGUGGCUAUUGGCUGCCAUUCUCUGUUGCUAAGUACAGUACAGCAUAGCUGUUAUGGAGCUAACUGGUGCAGGGCUUCCUCAACCAAGUAAUGUCCAGGUUGGUCUUGUACAAGAAACAGCACUUAUGCUUUGUCAUUUCCCUGCUGUGACGUCUCUGAUGUCCAUGACUGGGUGCGGAAGCUGGUAUUUGGCAAGCUGCACUACAAAAGAAACCUGCUAAUUCUGAAAAGUGGUGUUUUGGGCUCAGCUGUCACUCCUGGAUGAAAUACGUUCUACCUUGCAGAGUAGACUAAUAAGACUGCCCGUGCAAUGUGUAAGGUUUUCUUUUGUCCUUUAUAAAACUGAAAGGACUGAAAUAAUAGUUCAGGAGAAGAUUUUGAUAUCCUCGUUCCAGCGUGCCUUGGCAGUCCCCACACUGUGAAUAGUUUCUCCAGCUCCAGUGGAAUGCCUCUUGGAUGGAAGAUAGCCCUCACAGUGAAUUCAGCUGCUCUCCUGCUGCAGGAAUGUGCGGGCACACUGUUACACAUUAUAGAGGGAAAAUUACACAAACCUGUCCAAUGACAAGUGUAUAGCGUCGACAAUGUAUCCAAGAAAAGCUAUUGUGUGCAUUAAAGAAUGUGUCUUUUUGGCACUUGCUGAAAUAAGAAGAGGCAAGACUGUGCAGUCUGAGCUCUUCUUAAACCUUUACACGAUGAGGCAGAGCAAGUUUCUGAGCACUUCUGCAGCACUUCCCUGUACCAGUCCCCUUCCCUGCUCCCCUCGCCGACAAUUCUGUAGAGCGUUCGCUCCAGUUCAGCGGCUGCUGACAAAUGCUGCACCUUUCUGCUCCAGCCCCUUGUUGCUUACACACGGGAAUCAAACAAUCAGAAGAACCUCAAGCUUAUUUUCAUCUAAGUAACUUGUUUAUUUCUAAACCUACAAAGCAAAUGCACUCUUUGCUCUGCAAUUUAAUGUCUGCCUCUUUUUCCGCCAAGGUUGAUUUGGUAUUUCCUUUACAAACCUCAAUUGUUGGCAUUAAGAACUUGGCCAUUUCAACUCUACUGGACUAAAACUUGGCAACCAAAUUGUGAGCUAGCAGCUAAAUUGUUUCACUAAAAUUUCUUUCAUUUUUAUCAUUAAUCUGUGGCCAAUCUUUAUCUCUGCAGUUCCCACCACACUUCUAAGUCCCCCGAAGGUGAAUCGCUGGAAGUAACUUGGAAGUGCAGCUGACCGCCCGUACAAACACUUAAAUAAGAGACCCAGAACCCGAGCUCCAUAACAAAAUGCAGUUUCACUCUGUUUUUCUGCCUGCAGGCAGCCUUUCUUACACUUCUGCAUAUCAAGGAAGUGUCCCAGGAGAAGCCACAAGAUAGAGUCCUUAACAAAGCAGGAAGAGCAGAAAACCACAAAGGCACAUAGCAAGUCACUAUUAGGUCAAGGCCUGUGCUCACCAAUCCUGUGCAGAACUGGAGACGCAGUGAGCAUUCCAUAGCAGCCAGUGGUCAGAGGGCCGGCAAGGAUGGGAGUGGAGGAAUGGCUGUGGAAGAUGAGAGUGAAUAACCCAUGCCGUGUGGAUGCUGGCAGCCCUGAAACCAUUAGGAACAGGGCUCAGCAGCCUGCUCCCUGGUGCUGUGCCAUCAGAAGAGAUUUUGGUCUGCUGUUCAUCUCAAGAAGUGAAAUGACAGCAGAACUGCCGAUGUGAUGCAAGAUGCGAUUGGGAUAUACGAUUUUUUUUUCCAGGAGAAAUGCUUGAUUCUGCCAGGAUCUGGUGCAGGGAAUAUUUUGCAAUGAUGUGGACUCAAAUCUAGGCAACCGCUGAGCAGAUCUAAAUGGCCAAGUGAAGGAGAAUCCAGUGUUCUUUCACUGUCAUGGGUCAGAAAAGCAGACCAUCUUCAACACGCAUUCAGCCCUUCAACUGCCUCACGUCCUUCAGUUCAUGGCACAGCCUGAGGCUGAGUGGGGAUCACCAGGUCAGCUCAGGCCUUUAACAGAGACCUCUCUUUGACUCAGGCAAGCCUAGCUUCUAAAAUCAGGAAUUUUAAAAACUAUUGGCAAAAAUCAUCUGAUUUGAGCUUGCUAUGUUAAAUCACAUCUAAGGAAUAUUUAGGCUUGGUGAAGUGUGUUUAACUUCUUCAUAUGUGAAUGCUGAAUCCAAAAUACACUAAUUUCUAAGAACCACAGUAAUUAAACUGCCUUGCCAAUAGUAUGGCAAGGAUCAUUUGGUUAAGCCACCAUCUAGCAUAGACAUUGAAAGCCCUAAGAUGUAUGUGGAAAGAUAAAUAUCUAUGCUUAGCUUUAUCUUUAAGAUGUUUUGAUAGUGACUAUUCUGUGACACAAUAUUCAUAACUUGUGGACACAUUGUGAAGCAGUUUUCCAAUAUCAAGUCCAUCACUGCAUUUCUGGGAGGAUGCAACUGUUUCCUUUUUAAAGCCACCAAAGAAACCAUCAGAAGAAAAGAUUUGUGCUCAUCUUUCAUUAACCUGACAUACAAAAGUAAGUUUGAUUUUAGGAAGAAUUUUGCCCACAAAGCAUCUCGUCAUAUAAAUACUUAGUACCAGGUUUUCUCUCUUUCUCCCAAGUCCAGGGACCCUUGCUCCUUGAUCAAAGACAGCAGCAUGAGCAAGCCAUGAAUCAGAUUGACAUCAUAAUCCCUAUUUUUCUGCACAAUGAAUUCAAGGUAAAACACAAUUUUCCUUCCAAUCCUAUUCUUCUGUAACAUUAGUAUGGACAUAACUCUAAGAAGCAAUUUGUAACCUAAUGGACAGUGUACCUAAGCCCACUUCAGUGCUGGUGAAAGCCAGCCCCCACAGGAGGGUGACACCAGGUGUGGUGUGCACCGAGUAGGCACUCACUCAGCCCUCUUCCCAUGCAAGCAUGUCCCGGUGGCAUCCCCACUGCACGGGGAGCUCCUUUGAUGUGGACAGUACUGUGUCAGCCAGUGCUGCUGAAGGGGAAGACAAUCAAUGAGCAUGGCCAAGCAUGUUUGUCCAGAGUAAGCUGGUAACUAAAAUUUGAUCCAAGCAAAAAGAAAACAAACAAACAAAACAACAACAACAAACAAGAAAGAACAAGAAAAAUAAACAAAGCACUUGUUGGGAGAGAAUCCUGGGAAUCAGUUGGGAGUGCUCAAAAAGGCACAGUAAAGGGUAAUAGUAUUAAGUUCUCUUCCUUAUAAAGCUUUGGGUGACAAGUGCCCACCCUUCCCAUCUCUGCCUGCUGCCCCACACUGAGGCCGUGCAGUCUGUGGGAGCUUUACUUGCUGUGUGGGAGCGCAGAAGUCAAAAGGAAGGCUUCCAGAUGUGGUCAGUCAUGAGAUUCCCAGGAGCUGGUGCAGAGCCUGCUGACUGCUGGCACGUUACUGACACAGGUAAUUGCAGCUUUUAAAGGAAGGCCUCUUCUGUAACUGCAAAUUUUGGAGCGGAAGGAGAUAUCCAGAGGCCUGUGGUUUGAAUUCUGGAUAACACCUCCACUUUUGGUCUGCAAGCAGUGAAAGGCCACUGGGGCUAAUGGUGCUCCUUACAUUCUCCCUUAAUGGCAUGGGAAAAAACGUUCUAAGCUUCAUGUGCCAAGAUGGAUGACAUUAAUUUUCUGAUCCCAACUGCAGCAGAUUCCCUUGGGAGAGUGGCACAGCAUCUGACUCAUCUCUGGUGGGGAGUGCUGCUAAGUGACCACAAGUUAAAUAAACUCAAAUUCCACAGUCAUGACCGAGGGGUAAUGAAGAAAGUUCCCUGCAAGUAGUUCCUGCAGGUGUUCGACAUCUGGAUCUCUCUCAGCUCCCAGGACCUGCUCAAAACAGAGUAAAUUAUUGUGUUUGGGGAUAAAAUAAGAAAUCCAAAGAUCUUUAUGAUGAACAAACAUUGU
This 4185-nucleotide long non-coding RNA is filed under the name Gallus gallus (chicken). Its description in RNAcentral is "lncRNA (ENSGALG00010006555.1)". Lineage: Eukaryota; Metazoa; Chordata; Aves; Galliformes; Phasianidae. The record is from RNAcentral.